This 476-nucleotide ribosomal RNA is filed under the name uncultured bacterium. Its description in RNAcentral is "bacterial SSU rRNA". It matches the Rfam family "Bacterial small subunit ribosomal RNA", at positions 45 to 515 of the family's 1533-position model. The record is from RNAcentral.
GGCCGAACACAUGCAAGUCGAGCGGAUGACGGGAGCUUGCUCCUUGAUUCAGCGGCGGACGGGUGAGUAAUGCCUAGGAAUCUGCCUGGUAGUGGGGGACAACGUUUCGAAAGGAACGCUAAUACCGCAUACGUCCUACGGGAGAAAGCAGGGGACCUUUGGGCCUUGCGCUAUCAGAUGAGCCUAGGUCGGAUUAGCUAGUUGGUGGGGUAAUGGCUCACCAAGGCGACGAUCCGUAACUGGUCUGAGAGGAUGAUCAGUCACACUGGAACUGAGACACGGUCCAGACUCCUACGGGAGGCAGCAGUGGGGAAUAUUGGACAAUGGGCGAAAGCCUGAUCCAGCCAUGCCGCGUGUGUGAAGAAUCGUCUUCGGAUUGUAAAGCACUUUAAGUUGGGAGGAAGGGCAGUAAGUUAAUACCUUGCUGUCUUGACGUUACCGACAGAAUAAGCACCGGCUAACUCUGUGCCAGCAGG